UGAUUAUUCUAUUUUUCACAA
Non-coding RNA from Caenorhabditis elegans, 21 nucleotides. NCBI's taxonomy places the organism in Eukaryota, Metazoa, Nematoda, Chromadorea, Rhabditida, Rhabditidae. The record is from Ensembl.